This 254-nucleotide unclassified non-coding RNA is filed under the name uncultured Jahnulales. Its description in RNAcentral is "sequence contains 5.8S rRNA gene, ITS2, 28S rRNA gene". The record is from RNAcentral. Lineage: Eukaryota; Fungi; Ascomycota; Dothideomycetes; Jahnulales.
AACGCACAUUGCGCCCUUUGGUAUUCCGAGGGGCAUGCCUGUUCGAGCGUCAUUUCAACCCUCAAGCUCCUGCUUGGUAUUGAGCGGCACCGCCUGUGAACGCAGGCGCGCUCGAAACUCGUGGGCGGUGACGUCCAGCGUCGAAGCGUAGUCAAACGUUCGCUUUCCGACCAGCUGGGCGCUCACCCGCCGGGCGACGAAUUUCACUUCUCAGGUUUGACCUCGGAUCAGGUAGGGAUACCCGCUGAACUUAA